RNAcentral lists this ribosomal RNA (198 nucleotides) under uncultured bacterium. RNAcentral's name for it is "partial 16S ribosomal RNA". It matches the Rfam family "Bacterial small subunit ribosomal RNA", at positions 328 to 539 of the family's 1533-position model. The record is from RNAcentral.
ACGCUCGACACCUACGGGAGGCAGCAGUGGGGGAUAUUGCACAAUGGGGGGAACCCUGAUGCAGCGACGCCGCGUGAGGGAAGAAGGUUUUCGGAUUGUAAACCUCUGUCCUCAGGGAAGAAGAUGACGGUACCUGAGGAGGAAGCCACGGCUAACUACGUGUCAGCAGCCGCGGUAAUCUGAGCGGGCUGGCAAGGC